This 322-nucleotide unclassified non-coding RNA is filed under the name Hevea brasiliensis (rubber tree). Lineage: Eukaryota; Viridiplantae; Streptophyta; Magnoliopsida; Malpighiales; Euphorbiaceae. The record is from RNAcentral.
GGCCGUGCAACAAGAAAACCAAUCCCCUGACUUUGAAGGAAACAGGUGUCCAGGAUUGCGUGAACAUAGUUUCUCCUCUGGCCGUAACAAAAAGCGAAAACUCCCUCAGCGUUUCUCUAUCGUCUUCCUGAAGUACCCUUCUUAUCGCCAGCGAUCGUCUCGCCGCCACCUCCUGCUCCACCACGCUCUUCCACGGCACCAUUUUCGAUGGCACUCGAACCACCGGACCUUUCCUCUCCACCGCCUUUUCUUCCUUCCCAAUGCCGCCUUUCUCCUGCGACCCAGACGACGCCAUCAUCGUCGCCGGUGACGCCAUCCUCCU